Molecule: long non-coding RNA, 434 nt
Filed under: Ananas comosus (pineapple)
Lineage: Eukaryota; Viridiplantae; Streptophyta; Magnoliopsida; Poales; Bromeliaceae
Description: long non-coding RNA (ACOM_LNC008294)
Source: RNAcentral
CUAAAGUCAAAUUAUUAAUAAUAAUUUUGUGUCAUUUGAUUGGCGUUAAGUGGGGCAUAGUAGAAAAGAAAGAGCUAACUAUUAAUAAUAAUUAUUAAUAGUUAGCUAAAGUCCACCAACAACUGUCUCAAAUUAUGUGAUAGUAGGGAUAAGUGGGGCAUAAUAGGAAAGAAAGAGCUAACUAUCAUCUCCUCUUCUUGGUGGGCUUUAUGGUUGGAGCGAAAUAUAAGAAUUUUCAACCAUAAAAAACUUUUGUUGAGACAGCUGUUGGUGGACGUAUACGUGCUCAAGAAUAUGUGGGAUCAGUAUUGUGUGUAGUGUUUUUUUUUUUUCCUCUGCGAAGCCACGAUGCUUCACUCUGUUGCUAAAUUCAUCUUAUUACUGAAUAAAGCGGUAGCAUGCUACCUUUCUCUCUCAAAAAAAAAAAAAAAAAA